Molecule: non-coding RNA, 180 nt
Filed under: Cycloclasticus sp.
Lineage: Bacteria; Pseudomonadati; Pseudomonadota; Gammaproteobacteria; Thiotrichales; Piscirickettsiaceae
Source: RNAcentral
CGUUCCCUGCGGUGUUCGAAAGAAGGUGGAAUAACCCUUGGACCUAAUAACCUACUCGGGAAGACAGAUCAUUCGACUGGUGUGCAUGCUCAUUAUUGAGAAGCCUAAUGCCAAUGUCCGACUCCCACUUAAACCUCUCGGUUUAAGGUAGAAACCUGAAGCGGCGCUAGUGGGGARCGU